This 73-nucleotide transfer RNA is filed under the name Spirochaetaceae bacterium. RNAcentral's name for it is "tRNA-Trp". It matches the Rfam family "tRNA". Rfam says of the family: Transfer RNA (tRNA) molecules are approximately 80 nucleotides in length. The record is from RNAcentral. Lineage: Bacteria; Pseudomonadati; Spirochaetota; Spirochaetia; Spirochaetales; Spirochaetaceae.
AGGCCAGUAACUCAAUUGGUAGAGUAUCGGUCUCCAAAACCGAAUGUCGUGGGUUCGAUUCCUACCUGGCCUG